UGGCUUGAAGGUACCUAUUUAUAUUCCCUUGAUUUUUUGUUUUUGAUUAAAGUUGCAACUUUCUUGCCAAUUAUUUCAUGGCUACACUGCUAAAUGUAUGUAUUUGGGUAAUUUGUUAUGUCUGUCGACGUGUGUAUAUGUAAUUUGUUAUUAAUGUAUGUUUCUAAAAUACUUGAAAAAUUGUAAAUUUCUACUUUUAAUAUUUGGAAAAUCAAAUGUUGAGUGCUGCACCUGUCUGGUUGGCCAUUGAUAUCUCUUUGAUUUGUGAUAUCUCUUUGAUUUGUA
Molecule: unclassified non-coding RNA, 285 nt
Filed under: Hevea brasiliensis (rubber tree)
Lineage: Eukaryota; Viridiplantae; Streptophyta; Magnoliopsida; Malpighiales; Euphorbiaceae
Source: RNAcentral